Long non-coding RNA from Acanthopagrus latus (yellowfin seabream), 169 nucleotides. RefSeq lists it as uncharacterized. Lineage: Eukaryota; Metazoa; Chordata; Actinopteri; Spariformes; Sparidae. The transcript has 3 exons. The record is from RefSeq and is a predicted model, not a curated record.
UUCCUGGUUGCGUCACCAGAUGUUCCCGCCCCUACCUGUACGUCACUAUUUAUGCAGCUCAGGGGAAGAGGACAAGCUGCUGGUUUAUCUCGGGUUGUGAGGACCGUGGAGAGGUGCGCAAUGAAUGUGAGGCCACGAAGGGUAGUAGUGAUGCAGCCUCCAAAAACAG